This 790-nucleotide long non-coding RNA is filed under the name Notechis scutatus (mainland tiger snake). RNAcentral's name for it is "lncRNA (ENSNSUG00000015438.1)". Lineage: Eukaryota; Metazoa; Chordata; Lepidosauria; Squamata; Elapidae. The record is from RNAcentral.
CUCGGUCGCGGCCGGGCUUUGGUCCCGCCUUUCCCGCUCCAGCAAAACGGCGCCGCGGGCCGGCCCCCUCGCUGGGCUGACAAGCGCAAAACGGCAGCGCUCGGCCCAGGUGAGUUGUGCUUUGCUCGGCCAGGCGCUUCCCGGGAAUUGCAGCAAGCGGAGAGAGAAAGAGAGGGAGAAAGAGAGAGAGCAGAGCAGGCCCGGCCUUGCGGCCUGAGCAGGCUUUGUUUCCCGCCGCUUGGGUGGCUUCGCUGGGACUGGCUGCUGCUCCCUCCUGAGGCUGCGGAGGACUUGAGAAAAGUUGAGUCAGACCUCAAGCCUGUUUUGUUACCGGAUUUCUGAUGUCUUUGGAAAUUGCCACAAACACAGUGAGAAGAUGAGCAGCUACUAUUCAGAAAAACUGAAGUUUGAAACAUUUUCUGACAAAACUAGAGAGAGAGAAAUUGCAUUGAUUAAGAUAAAAAGACAUGAAGGUAUGAUGCAGUUAAACAGAUGAGUAAUUGCUCAGAGUAAUUGGGUGGGGAGAGAAGAUACCUGAAUUUGAAAAUCUUUUGGAUAUGGGUAAAUAGUGAUACUAUAUAAAACUUAUUACUGGCAGUGAAAUCUUGACAAAGUGGUUUCUGGUCAAGUUAUGGCUGUUUUGUUUGCUCAAAAAUGAUGUAAUAUUAUUUCAGGGCUAUUAAAAUGUAGCUGCCACUACCCUGAUAAUUUUAUAUUUAUAUAUUGAGAUUGUGUCAUAUUCUUUUCCUAGUAUCAUAGUAUCUUAGAUUGUCAUAUUGUGUCAUUUACU